ACAGUUUCCACAGCUGUAGAUGGACGCUUAGGCAAAUUGUGUUUCGGAAAGAAGCUGCCUUAUGUAGAUGCUCUAAACGCCAAGAA
RNAcentral lists this ribosomal RNA (86 nucleotides) under Choleoeimeria taggarti. RNAcentral's name for it is "small subunit ribosomal RNA". The record is from RNAcentral. Lineage: Eukaryota; Apicomplexa; Conoidasida; Eucoccidiorida; Eimeriidae.